This is a long non-coding RNA of Daktulosphaira vitifoliae (grape phylloxera), 938 nucleotides long. RefSeq lists it as uncharacterized. NCBI's taxonomy places the organism in Eukaryota, Metazoa, Arthropoda, Insecta, Hemiptera, Phylloxeridae. The transcript is spliced from 3 exons. The record is from RefSeq and is a predicted model, not a curated record.
UCUAUUACUAUAAAAAUGCAAAAAAAUAAUCGAACUUUUCUGAUAAAUUUUCUGUAAAUAGUAACUAUAAAAUUUCUUGACUACAUAUUAAUCUUAACAAUUUCAUUUUUUUCUAUUUAAUAAUGUCAAUUUCAAACUUGCAAGUUGAGCUAAAAGUCAUGGUGGAUAUUGACUUUAAACGACUUAAUCAAAUAUAAUAGUACGAUGGUCGAUUCAUUUGAUGAUUCUUACCAAGAUAUUAUGAAUAUUAUAGAAAAACACAAUAAAAACCGAGUUAGCAAAAUACUUGUAGAACAGCUUUCUCAGAAAUCAGACAUUUGUCAAAGUGGAAAAAAUUCAGCAUUCUUCUAUCUAUUAAGCUCGUUUUUCGUGCCAAUGUCGCAAAAAGUGACGAGAGAUGAAAAUGGAAAAAAAAUAUAUCAUUAAAUAUUCUAUAAAGGACUCUCAAAAUUCAUUCAUUAGUUUCCCACGAGAUAGUUGGCCAAGCUGAAGCUUACAUCUCAUUAUUACAAAGUAAAAAUCAGCCAAUACAACCAUUCAUUUUAAUUAUUGGCACGAUUUUAAAACCACGUGAUAUAUUAUUAUAUUUUUAUGCCAUCAAGUAUAAUUUUUUUUCAAUAAUAAGAGCAUUGGAUGUCUGCUUUAAGAUAUUCCACGUUUUUAAUUUAGAAUACCCAACUUCCGUCAUGUGCUGUCUGGACAUUUAUUCAACAAUAUUUUUACAAAUUAUUUUUAAAGAACGACUACUCCUAUCAAACAUUAAAACAAGUGCUACAUGAUCUCAACAAAAUAGUAAAAUAAUAUUAUUAUAUUAAUAUUAUAUUGAAAAAUCUUUUAAUUUUUCACUUUAUAUUUUUCUUCUUUUCAUUCUUAUUAAUUAUUUGUAAAUUAUUAAUUUUUAUUUGAUUAUAUAAAAUUAAUUUUACAUCCAAUGUAUA